CAGGGUGACAAUAUACAGCCUUGACGCACUCCUUUUCCUAUUUAGGACCAAUUGGAGAAAGCCAAACAAGCUUCCCUAAGCCAUCACACACGAAGACGCACUGCUAGUUAGCCGGCCUCCAACUUUCAUACUCCACACUCAGAGCCCACCCGAGGCCCUCUCCUCCCCUUGGCAGGCCGGCCUUUGAGCCUUUGCCAAACACCCGCUGUGGCCGACUCCCCUGCUCUAGCGGGCUCUGUGAAAACGUCUUCCGUGCUCCUCGGCAGGUGGUCUCUCUCGACUUCCACACCCAGACGCCAAAGGCCACUGUGCUGCCGCCGCGAGGUGUAACGUCUGCUGCGGCAACUGGAGAAACUGCCACCUGAGCGAGAAAAACCGCCACCGGCGCGCGACUUUCUGGGAGUUGUAGUUCCUCGCGCCCAGCGGGCGCACUUCCGCCACCUACCGGAAGUGCCGCCAAUAGUCGCGCGCUCAGCUGAACCUGGCCGGGGAACCAGCGCGGAGGCUCCCCUGUGCCCCACAGCCCUGCCGAGUUCAGUACGUGGACACAGUUCUUCCACUGACUGGAAGACUACACUUGAAAGAGUCUGUCUGAAGAGGAUAUUGCUGUGGAAGGGCCAUCUUAUCACAUGGAAAUGAAAUACCAUGUUCAGGAGAAGGGCCCCAGAAUUUUUUCAGCAGAGAACAGCAAAGAUGGUAAGAACUAUGGAAACAUUAAUCAUAGCUUGUCUCUUAAUGAACACAAGCCAACGCAUUUGGAGAGUCAGUUCAGUUGUGACAAAUGCCUUGAACAGACUGAAAUAAGUCAUCCUGGAGAGGCACUACUCACAUAUAAGGACGACUGUGAUGCCUCCCACAUGGCCUCAUCUUUUACUUACUGUGACAUCAUUUAGACUGGAAAGAAGCCAUAUGAAUGUAAACAGUGUACAAGAUCUUUCAGCUGUUGCUCUAAGCUUGUACACCAGAGAACACACUGGAGAAAAGCCCUAUGAAUGUACUUGAUGUGGAAAGUCUUUCAGGCAGAGCUAUGACCUUGUAGUACACCAGAAAACUCACAUGGGAGAAAAACCCAACGAAUGUAAUCAAUGUGGAAAAUCCUUCAUCCAGAGUUCCAAACUCAUUAGGCAUCAAUGAACUCACACUGGAGAAAAACCAUAUACAUGUCGUGAAUGUGGAAAAUCUUUCAGGUGGAACUCUAACCUUUUGGUACAUCAAAUAAUUCACACUGCCUUAAAACUUAUGAGUAUGCUCAUUGUGGAAAGUCCUUCAGUCAGAGC
RNAcentral lists this long non-coding RNA (1277 nucleotides) under Capra hircus (goat). Its description in RNAcentral is "lncRNA (ENSCHIG00010012350.1)". The record is from RNAcentral. Lineage: Eukaryota; Metazoa; Chordata; Mammalia; Artiodactyla; Bovidae.